This is a long non-coding RNA of Psammomys obesus (fat sand rat), 1286 nucleotides long. RefSeq lists it as uncharacterized. The transcript is spliced from 5 exons. NCBI's taxonomy places the organism in Eukaryota, Metazoa, Chordata, Mammalia, Rodentia, Muridae. The record is from RefSeq and is a predicted model, not a curated record.
UCCACCCUACCGGCUGCCGCCGCCGCUCCUGCCGCCGCCUCCUCGGGCUGCAGCCCCGGCCGCCUCGCAAGGCUGACCAUUUGGUAUUGGGUAUUCAGUUGGUGUGAUCUAUCCCAGGUUGAAGACCGUCAGCAUUCCCAUUCAGCAUUUCUCAGUUGCCUGUAACUGUGUGAGGCUGAGUCGACAUUAGCAGUGUGUGCCAUGGUGCAGGUGUGGAGGCCAGAGGCCACCUGUGGGAACCAGUUCUAUACUUCCAACAUGUGGGUCCUGGAGAUGGAACGCAGCUCAUCAGGUUUGGUGUCAUGUUAUAGAAAGAGAGAAAAUGUAGGUCACAGUCUGUCUUCACAGUCCUACUUGGAAGCACUGGAAGACACAGAGGAAGAAAUAAUGGGCUGUCUUCGUAUAAUAUGAACAGGAUUGUGCUGCUCUUCCUGAAGAAACAUGGCCUUCAGCACAUCUGUUUUUUAGGGUGACCUCAAGAUGUUCAGUAAUGUGAAGAUGCACAAUUCAUCCACAACCCCGGGGAAAAUGAAGAAGGGCAAGAAGCGCUCUUCUGCUUGAGUGACAUAAGAAGGAAGAGGGCACAAAGACCCUCACUCACAUUUGUCUAGAAGCUGCCAAACAAGGACUAUAGCUAUGCCCUCUGGUACAACCCACAAGACCAAGGAGAGCAAGAAGGAGCGCUUGGUGGUCAUCUGGGUUCCUGAGAGUGUCCCUCUUAAGAGCAAAAUGAUCUAUGCUAGUUCCAAGGAUGUCGCUUGAAGAAGUUGACAGGGAUCAGCAUGAAUUACAAGCAAGCUAGCAGGAGGUCAAGAACCAAACCACUGUAAUCUCCCUGGAAUGCAAGCCUUUGUGAUCAGCCUCCAAGACCUGCCUUCCUUCUGGGAGCUGCUCUCCAGUCCCUGCCAGGCAGGAGGAGCCUGGAGGGUCCCAUCAGGAUAAGGACAGUGUCUUUACCCCCUUAAUUGGACAGUCCUUCAGCCCCUGGACUUUUCUCCUACUUCUAUUUAUCUGACAGUCUGGCCUUCGCCAACCUCUUGGGUUGAAGCAAAACAAGUUUGUGCCUUUCACCCACACAGUUGGAUGAAGAAGCUGUUGUUUUUGUUGUAUGUGGGAGAAUUUGGAGGGCAGAAAGGGAAGGGAGAAAUGGUGUGAUCGUAUAAUCUCAAAAAUAAAAAAAAAUAAAAAAUCAGGAAAAACAUCAAUGCAAGAAGCACUAAGAAGAAUUACAGAUCAGUACAUAAUUCAGAUACUUGACUCUCCUGGUGCAGUGCCUCACACCUGAG